UACGGGGGGGGCAAGCGUUGUUCGGAAUUACUGGGCGUAAAGGGCGCGUAGGCGGCCUUCUAAGUCGGACGUGAAAUCCCUCGGCUCAACCGAGGAACUGCGUGUGAUACUGGCGGGCUUGAAUUCGGGAGAGGGAUGUGGAAUUCCAGGUGUAGCGGUGAAAUGCGUAGAUAUCUGGAGGAACACCGGUGGCGAAGGCGGCAUCCUGGACCGAGAUUGACGCUGAGGCGCGAAAGCUAGGGGAGCAAACGGG
This 253-nucleotide ribosomal RNA is filed under the name uncultured bacterium. RNAcentral's name for it is "partial 16S ribosomal RNA". It matches the Rfam family "Bacterial small subunit ribosomal RNA", at positions 524 to 776 of the family's 1533-position model. The record is from RNAcentral.